Molecule: long non-coding RNA, 3394 nt
Filed under: Taeniopygia guttata (zebra finch)
Lineage: Eukaryota; Metazoa; Chordata; Aves; Passeriformes; Estrildidae
Description: lncRNA (ENSTGUG00000023985.1)
Source: RNAcentral
UUUCUUCCCUUUACAGCAAAUUUGGACACUGCUGAACCUCUGUCCUCGUUGUGGUUGGCUGAGCCUGUGAAGGGUGAAAGAGUUUCACCCUGGCAGUGCCAGUGAUGAAUUUUACAAGGAAAAAUCACCUGUUCUGCAGUUUCUACUUCACCUCCUUUCCAUUAAAAGAUGCUCCACUGGUGGCUGCACACCCCCAUGUAUUUGCUGACUUUACAUUGUAAACAAGGCUGAAGAUAACCUAAAAGAAGAAUCCUGCGACUGAACCACCUUUGCAGUUUACUGUGGGCUUACUCUCUCCAUGACAAAGACCAGUUCCACACAAGGGAUCUGUAUAGAAUCCAGCAAUUCUGAAGAGACUUGUAAAAUACUUGCUGUGAUUUUUAAAAGUUUUAAUGCCUGAGGAGGCUUUGGUCUGCUUUGGCUAUAUACUACUACUUAAGGAAGGAAAAGAAUACAAAACCACACAGGGUAAUCUUUUCCUCCAGGAAUUUAAUUCUGUGCUAAUAGUAGCUUCUCAGGAGUAAUUCAGCCUUGAGUCUUAACUACUCAUAGCUUGGAGAAAAAUCCACUGAUAGUGUUGCCUCGGUCUUCUGAAAGUUUUUCUGAGCUCAAAAAUGCAAUGUAGCAAGUCUGCUGAAAAAUCAGAACUUGUCUGCAUGCUACAAGUUGGAAUUAAGAAAUGUUUAUGUAAUACUUUCCUCUGGUAGCUCUAUAACAACCACAAUUGAAAAUCUCCCAUAUAAAUAAAGGCAUUUAAAUAUACACAGUGAGUGCUAACUGGCCAGAUAACCUGUGUUUGAAGUGUGUGGAUACAUGCCUCAAAUGUGUGUGCAUACACACAAACCUGUGUGCACACAGAGUUAAUGAGUUUUCUUUCCUGGAACAAAGCUCUUUCAGCACAUGGAGUUCCUUGUGUCAAAGAGAAUUUUCAAGUACUAGUCGUUUAGAUAGCACUGACAUAUCAAAUAGUGUUGUUUGAUCCUGUCCAUUCUGAAAUCUUUAACAUCUAACACCAAAGUCAGCUUUCUUUCUUUCUGUGUGCAUCCUCCAUGUGUGUCCAUCCUUGUAAUGAACUUUGGCUGAGCUUCAGCACUUCGAGUUUUAGAAAAAAAAGCAUCCAAAGGCAGACAACAAAUCUGGUGAAGGAUCUAGAGAAAAAUCUUUUGAGGAGCAGAAAAGGGACCUGGGAUUGUUUAGCCUGGAAGAAAGGAGGCUCAGCGGAGACCUUAUCACUCUCUGUGACUACCUGAAGGGAGGUUGUAGCAACGUCAGGACUGGUCUCUUCUCCCUGGUAACAGGCAAUAGAACAAGAGCAAAAGGCCUCAAGUUGUACCAGGGGAGGUUUAAAUUGGAUAUUAAGAAAAAUUUAUUCAUCAAAAAAGUUAGGAAACUUUAGAAUGGGCUGUCCAGAAAAGUGGUUGAGUCACCACCCCCGAAGACACAUAGGUGUGGCACUUAGGGACAUGAUUUAGUGGUGAACUUGGCAGUCUUAGGUUGGACUCUGUGAUCUUGAAGGUGUUUUCCAACCUCGAUGAUUCUAUGAUGCUGUGAUUCUUUUCAAAUCAGUCACAUUUCCUGAGUUAGAGACAAAGCUACAGCAGAUCUGAGCUACGGCAGAUUCAAUUCCUCACCUUUACAGGUUACAUCAAGCCGCCUUUGCCUAAAUCCUGGGUUCCCUUGUCUUGAAGGCAUGGCAGAACACAUAUUUAUUUUGCUCCUGUAGCAACCAGUAAUUAUAAACUCUUACUUCUGCUGAGACUCUUGGGUUUGCCCCAGUCAAAUUGAGGGGACUCAAACUGAUGAGUUUGCAACAGAGAUUGGAAUAAUUUUGAUGGAACUGUUAAUAUAACUCAGAGGGUUCAACUUUUACAGGAAAAAUAGAGCAUUUUGCUGGAAUACUUUCAUGAUCUCCAUGGCAUUUUUCCUCAGGAACUGCAGUGGGUGGUUUCUAAUAUUGCUGUUGAUGAAGGCAUACACUACACAUAAUUGAAGGUAACAAGACAUGGUUUGCAUGGUGAGUUUCACUUACAUCCCCCACAGACCUUCAAGCUGUUCUGUGGAAGAACUAAGCUACGUAUCAUAGCUCUUGCUGCUGUUGCUCAUGAUACCUACUAUGGCGUAAGUACCACUAUGGAGGCCAAAAUGUGCAGGUACUUCAAGUGCAUAAGCUCAGCUUCCUACAAGGGUAGAUGCUGACCACUGCUAGUGAACAAAAUCAGGUGACUAAAAGUCACCUAAAUCACCUAAAUCACUUGUCAAAUGAAAUUUCUUUUGUUCAUGGAGCACAAAGACACCCAGAGCAUGCACUGCAAGUUCCUGUGGCCCUUUGGUCAUGACAAAAGUACAUGAAUAAUUUACUCACAUUUUAAUAGGACCAAUGCUUACUUAGCGCAGCAUCUGGGAGAUUCCUAUUUUCUCUAUUUUUUUAUCUGUUUAACCUGCUGAUAUGUCAAUUAAAUGGUCAAGCAUGGGAGAAAAAUGGAUUCCUUUCCCCAUGAAGACAUACUUCUUUAGAUAUGCUAGGAGUUUAUAGUAGCUUCUUUUCCACAUGCUAGAGAUGUUUAUUAAUUUGUUUCAUCUGGGCUCCUUCCUCUGUUCCUGCUUCCUUCUUACCCAUGGGAAAAGUGACUACCUUCUUGCCACUUCUCUAAUAUUCAUGUUUGCAUUACUGGAAGAAAAAAAAAUAUCAGUGUUUUCCUGAUCUUUCUUCUCUGCUGGAAAUAAAAAAAAGAAAAAUCUUGUUUGUUUUUAUUUUGACCCUUAUAUUUCUUUCCAUGGAAUAUUUCAAGAACAUAUUUUUGAUUCUCGAAAUGGAUGUGUUUGAAAUCCAGCUGGAAACUUUGUCAUAGCCUAACAAGUUGAUUCUGGUAUUACUUUAAAAUCUGUGAACACAAAUGUGUAAAGGUCAAGCUCCUUUCAUAGGAAUCCUGAUUUGUAUCUUAACACAUUUUGUGACACGUUAAUAGCUUAGAUUGUACUUUCCAGGUAACAGAAUUUUAGUGAAAUCCUAAUUUCAUUAUAUAUAUGAAAAAAUAUAUUCUUCUGUAUUUAUAUUAAAUUUCUUAUGCAAUUAAAACUCCCAAAAGAUUUGUUGGAUCUGUAGGCUAUAUUCUGCCUUUCAGUCAUGGACCUGGCAGAAUGAUAAAUUGUAUUGAAGAUUCAGGCAGAAUCUUAUGAGUGGAAGAAUAAAUGUUCAUAUUAAAACAUAUGGGCAAACAGGAUCUCCUUGAGUGUGUAGCAGCAGCAAUUUGGAUUUCUGAUACCCCAGUGCUCAUGCUGGGAGACAAAUUCUGUUGUCUGAGCUAUCUCUGUUAUGGAUCUUUUUUUCCUGCUUUUGACCUGAGGAAGGAAAUUUGAGAAUCUGAUUAAAAAAAAAAAAAAAAAAAAAAAAAAG